Molecule: ribosomal RNA, 497 nt
Filed under: uncultured bacterium
Lineage: Bacteria
Description: partial 16S ribosomal RNA
Rfam family: Bacterial small subunit ribosomal RNA
Source: RNAcentral
GAUGAACGCUGGCGGCGUGCCUAAUACAUGCAAGUCGAGCGAACGGACGCGAAGCUUGUGUCUCUGACGUUAGCGGCGGACGGGUGAGUAACACGUGUAAAACCUACCUAUAAGACUGGUAUAACCUCGGGAAACCGGCUCUAAUACCGGAUGAUAUUUUGAAGCGCAGGGUUCAAUAGUGAAAGACGGCCUUGCUGUCACUUAUAGAUGGAUCUCCGCUGCAUUAGCUAGUUGGUAAGGUAAAGGCUUACCAAGGCAAGGAUGCAUAGCCGACGUGAGAGGGUGGUAGGCCACACGGGAACGGGGACGCGGUCCAGACGCCUAAGGGACGGAGCAGACGGGAAUCUUACGCAAUGGGCGAGAGCCUGACGGAGCGACGCGGAGCGAGAGAUGAAGGUCUUGGGAGCGUAAAACUCUGUUAUUAGGGAAGAACAGAUUUGUAAGUAGCUGUACAGAUAUUGACGGUAACUAAUAAGAAAGCAACGGCUAACUACGUG